UCAAUGCAGCUGAGUGACCAGAAGGGCUGGAGCCGGGAUCCAUCUCUUACAGACCUCAUUUAAGGGUUGGCAGUGAAGACAAAGGGAUUUUGUUUGGGGGUUGAUGCCUGCUUGAGGCCUUUUGAAGUGUUGUUGGAAUGAGAACAGCUGUGAUUGGACACAUUACUAUCAGCACGUUCUCUGGAGGGUCUGUACUUGGGGUCUUAUAACAGCCUACUUCCAGUUUUCUUUCUCCAAGUCAGCUGUGCCAGCUACUGUAGUUUAAGAACAGAGAAGAAGCAUAGCAUGCCAAAAUUAACAGGCUUUAUAGGAGCACCCAGAAAGCCAAGAAACCAAAACAACAGGUAUGUGUAUAAUCAGUUUUCUAUACGAAGUACACUAAUUAAGGCAUAGCCCUUCAGGGCUAGCUAGUAAUGAGUAGAAAUAGUUUUUACUGCUUUCAGAUCAGAUGGAACUUUCUUGUUCAAACUCUGGCAUUAAAUCAGUUGCAAUCUAAAGACAAAAACAAAUAUAUCAGUUGUAAGCAUUAACAUUGUACAAAGAAGGAAAAAACGUAUAAUACAGACUAGUCUUCAUUCAUAGAAAUAUGCAUUCUUCCAUUCAGUUAAAUAUGAUGAAGCUUUAUCACUAGUCUGAUUCUCAGAUUCAGUAAGUUUGGAUGAUGUGUUAGGUCUCUGAGAACAGACUAGUCUCAAUGCUAAAGGUGAACGUAGUUUCAUUUCAUUGAUCUAUUCUCAAUUCAUAUUUUAAUACAAAAAUUUUAGCACUGCAAAACCUGCAAUGACAUCACCAACAGAUUUAUGUAAUCCAACUUUAGACAACUUGGGGCAUGAAAACUUCAUGGAUGAUGCAGAAGACAAGAGAAGGUCAUCUGAGCCAACGUGACUUCAGCAAGGGCAGAUUGUGCCUCACCCAUCUGGUGGCCUUCUAUGAUCAGUGGAUAAAGGAAAGGUGGUAGAGAUUCAUGCACCUAAACUGCUGCAAGGCCUUUGAUACGGUCCUGCAUCACAUUCCUGCCUCUAAAUGGGAAAGGUAUGGUUUGGAUGAGUGGACUGUUCAGUGGAUAAGCAAUUGGUCGGGUGGUUAUUGGCAGAGGGUGGUCUCUGUCCAGGUGGAGGCCCCUCAGAGGUCCAUCUUGGGACCAGCACUCCUCAUCAUUAUCAAUGACCAGGACGGCACUAUCCAGUGCACUCUCUGCAAAUCAGCAGGUGACACUAAGCUGAGUGGUGCAUUGAUGGAACAUAAGUAAGGGAUGCCAUCCAGAGGGAUCUGGACAAGUGUGAGAAGCGGGCCAACAUGUACCUAAUGAGGUUCAAUAAAGCCAGAGUAGGGGCAAUCUCGGGUAGAACUGACUGAGAGCUACCCUGGGGAGAAGGACUUGGGGGUUCUGGUGGAUGAAAAGCUUGAUGCAGUCAGCAGUGUGUGUUUGCAGCUCAGAAGGCCAAGUGCAUCGUGGGCUGCAUCAAAAGAGGAGUGAUCACCAGAGUGAGUGAGGUGAUAGUUCCUUUCUGCUCCACCCUUGUGGGCCCCAUCUGGGGUCCUGCAUCUGUGGCAGAGUUGCUGAAACUAGAUGGCUUUUAAGGUCCCUUCCCUUAAUGGGAACCCAUUUUAUGGUUCUUUGAUUCAUUUGCACUUCUGAUUUUGCAAUUCAUUUAUUUAAGGACACAAAAUAGUCCUGAAGCCUCACGUACAGUUUUUAAUAUUCAGUUGCCAGUAAACUAUAAAAAAUAGGGCUAGGUGGGACUUAAAGGUCCCAUCACAUUUACCUCUUAGCAAAAUCAAAAUAAUUGUGAAAACUUGAUCCUAGGUAUAGUCAUAAAUAUAUUCACAAAUGUUUUUGAAGAACCUUUAUAAAACAAGUUGUUAAUAAAGCAACCCUAAGCUUAAAGCACGUUAAUACCACGUUUAAGUUCUGAGUUGGAAUGAAACUGAUAAUGUCAGAAAACAAGUGAGCAGAUGGCUAAGGUUAAUAAAGGAAAAAGGGUUCAGAUGUAGUAUUAAAACCAAUCCAGCAAAAUUCCAAUUCACACUAUCGAGACUGUAGCUGAAAAAAGAUAGAUGCAUCAAUUUUUAUCUCCAGUGAUGUGCAUAAAAGGCAUCAUCUGUUAAACGUACUGCCACGUUUACAGUCAGUGGUGGUUGAUUUAUACCCUCUCAUGUACUAGCAUUAUCAAGCACAAAGUGGUUAAAAAAAAUAAAUAAAUAAGGUGUAGAAGAUGCUUGCAUAUCACAAUUUAGAUUCUUAGUUGCAGUGCUGUGCAGAGUAAGUACUGUUACGCUGGCACGGGGCUCAGAUAACAUGAUUCUUAGCAGGUCUUUGCUGCACUGAGCACUGUGUGUGCUUGGUAUCUGGUCUUUUACAUGAAAUAGUUGUUCUGAUAACUGUGCAGCAGAGUGCAUUCUGCUGCACAAACAAUAUACUUCAGACCAAUCAGAAAAACCUAGAUAAUUUCAGUCAGAAGCAAGUCAGUGAUUUAGUCCAUGUUCUGUAUGAUACCUGCUCAAAAGGCAAAGUAAGGUUGCUUCCUCUCUGAGAAUAUUAAUACUUCCAGUCGUGACACACAACACCAUCGAGGGGCAUUUUAAGUCUUGGGGAUUUAUUCGCUCAGCAUCACAUGGUGGUGUCUCAGACUGCACCAGACAACAGGCUAAGGACAGCGUGAAGACCGUGGUCAAAAUAAUAUCCCUUAAAAUUAUAGGAACGAACCAGCAGAGGGUUAACUAGAACAGCAAGCAAAUAUCCCAUAAUUAAUUAUUUGUAAUCUGUUUCCCAACACUUAGCUCAGACAGUCCAUUCUCAUCUACAUCUUCAACCGUGGACAAACUAGGUGCCCCUCCUCUACCUGUAAGUUCAGCUUACAUAACUUACAUUUUCCUAUGGUCUUCUCAUUUUCCCAUGGUAAUGGAAAUACGUUUUCAGUUAAAAGUAUUCUGUGUCAUGAGUAAUCAUCUACAGUGGAUACUUUAAAUACACUAAAACAUCUUUUACGUAUUAAUGUAAAAACAGUACUUCAGAUGCAUACCACAUGAAUGUUAGCGUGUGAAUGGGGUCUUUGUAUGCCUGUCAAGACUAUUUCUUGAGGUUUUCUUUUAAAUUAUAGGAUUCUUUUUUCUUCUAUUUAUAUACGUACAUACUUCUGUUACAUUUACACUGCCAUUUUUCUAGUUACAUGCUAUCAGUAUUUCAACACAGAGCUCUAAAAAUAUCUCUGAACUGUUGUGCUCCGUGUAAAGUUAAGAAAUAUUUCACUAUUUCAAUAUUCCAUAUUGAAAAUUCAAAUAUAAAACCUAGACUGAAAGGAAGCAUUACACAUCCUUCCCUGAUGUUUGCUUUUUUUUUUUCUUUGCGUUAGUUCAACUUUUGCUUCUAGGUUUCUGCCUUGUGUUCUGUAUUUAGUGACUGGCUGG
This is a long non-coding RNA of Lagopus muta (rock ptarmigan), 3408 nucleotides long. RefSeq lists it as uncharacterized. Lineage: Eukaryota; Metazoa; Chordata; Aves; Galliformes; Phasianidae. The record is from RefSeq and is a predicted model, not a curated record. The transcript has 3 exons.